RNAcentral lists this non-coding RNA (30 nucleotides) under Rattus norvegicus (Norway rat). Lineage: Eukaryota; Metazoa; Chordata; Mammalia; Rodentia; Muridae. The record is from RNAcentral.
UCAGAUAUUCCAUGGAUUACACAUUAUAAU